RNAcentral lists this ribosomal RNA (253 nucleotides) under uncultured bacterium. Its description in RNAcentral is "partial 16S ribosomal RNA". It matches the Rfam family "Archaeal small subunit ribosomal RNA", at positions 474 to 727 of the family's 1478-position model. The record is from RNAcentral.
UACCAGCACCCCGAGUGGUCGGGACGAUUAUUGGGCCUGAAGCCUCCGUAGCCGGUCCUGCAAGUCUUCCGUUAAAUCCAGCUGCUCAACAGAUGGGCUGCGGGAGAUACUACAGGGCUAGGAGGCGGGAGAGGCAAGCGGUACUUUAUGGGUAGGGGUAAAAUCCGCUGAUCCAUAGAAGACCACCAGUGGCGAAGGCGGCUUGCCAGAACGCGCUCGACGGUGAGGGAUGAAAGCUGGGGGAGCAAACCGG